ACCCAGUGGUGUCACUUCUAAGAAAUCUAGCCCUGACCUCUAUGCUAAGUCUAGCAUAAAUGUUUAUGUUCAGCAGAGCAAUUAUUGAUAGUAGUAAAACACUGGAAACAAAAUAGAUCCAAACACACUGCUACGGGAUGGGAUUGGUUAAAUAAAUGAUGGUCCAUAUGGUAGACAAAAAUGCCAGGUAGCCAUUAAAAUGAUGUAGUCUUCUAUUUUUACACUGUGGGAAAUUGUGCAAGUUACAUUUUUAGGUUUAAAAAAGGUGGUAGUUCUUCUGGUGACAUGUGGUGGAUG
Balaenoptera musculus (blue whale) is the source of this 297-nucleotide long non-coding RNA. RefSeq lists it as uncharacterized. The record is from RefSeq and is a predicted model, not a curated record. The transcript has 2 exons. Lineage: Eukaryota; Metazoa; Chordata; Mammalia; Artiodactyla; Balaenopteridae.